Ictidomys tridecemlineatus (thirteen-lined ground squirrel) is the source of this 72-nucleotide non-coding RNA. The record is from Rfam. NCBI's taxonomy places the organism in Eukaryota, Metazoa, Chordata, Mammalia, Rodentia, Sciuridae.
GGGAGUAUAGUUCAGUUGUAGAGCACUUGCCCAGCAUGCAUGAGGCCCUGAGUUCAAUCCUCAGUGCCACUA